UCAGCGUGAGUGAAGAAGGCCUUCGGGUUGUAUAGCUCUUUCGCAAGGGAAGAAAACUUAUGAUCGAAUAAAUCAUGAGGUUGACGGUACCUUGAUAAGAAGCACCGGCUAACUACGUGCCAGCAGCCGCGGUAAUACGUAGGGUGCGAGCGUUAAUCGGAAUUACUGGGCGUAAAGCGUGCGCAGGCGGUUUUGUAAGUCGGAUGUGAAAUCCCCGGGCUCAACCUGGGAACUGCGUUCGAAACUGCAAGGCUAGAGUGUGUCAGAGGGGGGUAGAAUUCCACGUGUAGCAGUGAAAUGCGUAGAGAUGUGGAGGAAUACCAAUGGCGAAGGCAGCCCCCUGGGAUAACACUGACGCUCAUGCACGAAAGCGUGGGGAGCAAACAGGAUUAGAUACCCUGGUAGUCCACGCCCUAAACGAUGUCAACUAGUUGUUGGUAGAGUAAAAUCUAUGAGUAACGUAGCUAACGCGUGAAGUUGACCGCCUGGGGAGUACGGUCGCCAGAUUAAAACUCAAAGGAAUUGACGGGGGCCCGUACAAGCGGUGGAUUAUGUGGAUUCCUUCGAUGCAACGCGAGGCACCUUACCUGGCCUG
This 595-nucleotide ribosomal RNA is filed under the name uncultured bacterium. Its description in RNAcentral is "bacterial SSU rRNA". It matches the Rfam family "Bacterial small subunit ribosomal RNA", at positions 396 to 982 of the family's 1533-position model. The record is from RNAcentral.